RNAcentral lists this long non-coding RNA (566 nucleotides) under Homo sapiens (human). RNAcentral describes it as "TEAD1 antisense RNA 1 (TEAD1-AS1)". Lineage: Eukaryota; Metazoa; Chordata; Mammalia; Primates; Hominidae. The record is from RNAcentral.
UUGAGACAGGGUCUGGCCCUGUCGUCUAGGCUGGAAUCACUGGUGCGAGGCUCACUGCAACCUCCACCUCCCAGGUUCAGUGGAUUCUCCCGCCUCAGCCUCCUGAGUAGCUGAGAUUACAGGCAUGUGCCACCACGCCCAACUAAUUUCUGUAUUUCUAGUAGUAACAGGGUUUUGCCUUGGUGCCCAGGCUGGUCUCAAACUCCUGGCCUCAAGUUAUCUGCCCACCUCAGCCACUCUAAGUGCUGAGAUUACGGGUGUGAGGCACCGUAUUGCUCCAGAUUUGGCAGAUUCUGACUGGCUAAUUUUUAUACCUUGACAGGCACUAACCACUAAGACCUGAGUCAUCAUAUACUUUAAAAUAAGUAUCUACAUUUAAAUUUCCUUUUUGAAUUGGUUAUUAGGAAAAUGUCCAACUCCUUAGGCAAAACUUCCUACUUUCUGUCUACAAAUAAAGAGAACCGCACUUUGGGAGGCCUAAGCCACCAUGCCUGGCGCAGCCCAACAUUUUUUAAAAAAGUGAAAACAUGCAUGUGGUAAAGACGGGGGAAAAAUAAAACUGUAAA